UCCCUGGUGGCCCAGACGGUAAAGUGUCUGCCUGCAGUGCAGGAGACCCGGGUUCGAUUCCUGGGUAGGGAA
Transfer RNA from Ovis aries (sheep), 72 nucleotides. It matches the Rfam family "tRNA". From Rfam's summary of the family: Transfer RNA (tRNA) molecules are approximately 80 nucleotides in length. Lineage: Eukaryota; Metazoa; Chordata; Mammalia; Artiodactyla; Bovidae. The record is from Rfam.